This is a ribosomal RNA of 507 nucleotides. It matches the Rfam family "Bacterial small subunit ribosomal RNA", at positions 404 to 902 of the family's 1533-position model.
AGUGAUGAAGGCCUUCGGAUCGUAAAACUCUGUUGUUAGGGAAGAACAAGUGCGAGAGUAACUGCGCGUACCUUGACGGUACCUAAUCAGAAAGCCACGGCUAACUACGUGCCAGCAGCCGCGGUAAUACGUAAGUGGCAAGCGUUAUCCGGAAUUAUUGGGCGUAAAGCGCGCGCAGGCGGUUUCUUAAGUCUGAUGUGAAAGCCCACGGCUCAACCGUGGAGGGUCAUUGGAAACUGGGGAACUUGAGUGCAGAAGAGGAAAGUGGAAUUCCAUGUGUAGCGGUGAAAUGCGCAGAGAUGUGGAGGAACACCAGUGGCGAAGGCGACUUUCUGGUCUGUAACUGACGCUGAUGCGCGAAAGCGUGGGGAUCAAACAGGAUUAGAUACCCUGGUAGUCCACGCCGUAAACGAUGAGUGCUAAGUGUUAGAGGGUUUCCGCCCUUUAGUGCUGCAGCUAACGCAUUAAGCACUCCGCCUGGGGAGUACGAUCGCAAGACUGAAACUC